AUGUUCAUCUUGAUAGCGAAAAAGGCGACACGACAAUGGGCCGCAUGGACACGCCAAGAGGAGGAGAGUUUCUUCAAUGCUCUGCGCCAAGUAGGAAAAAAUUUUGAGAAGAUUACUCUACGUGUCCAGAGCAAAAACAAAGAUCAGGUCAGGCAUUACUACUAUCGCCUUGUUAGGCGCAUGAAGAAGCUUCUGGGUCCUGGGUUCUCACUUGAUGCACGAAACUCCAAGGACACCAUUGCUGCUAUGCUCCGCUGGUGGUCUCUUCUCGAGAAAUUUAGCUGCAGUGCUUCAAAGCUACAUCUGAAGCCUCGGAGAUUCAAAACAUUUGUAGAUGCAUUGGGAAAUCAACUGAUAAAAGACAGAAAAAGAACGAGAAGAAAGUGUUCACUAGGGGAUACCCGCUUAUCUUCUUCAUCUCCAGUUCUCAGCAAGACUCCAGGAAAUCAAUCUUUCGCAGUAGGACUCUUGCCCAUGGAUGCCCAAAACGGUAGCAAAGGAGCCUCUUCUAAAGGAGCGUUUAUGAAACGGGUUGCAGAAUCUAAUUCUAACAAGUCAGGAGUAAUCAGAGGAGACCUCUCUGCCACCAGAACUGUGAGACAAAAAAGGAGAGCAGGGGGUGCUGGUGCGUGUGCGGCAUAUAAGAAAUGGGAGAGAGCUGCCAUGGCUGGUGUUUCUUUAGUUGCUGAUGCAGCUGAGGAGCUUGAACACAAAAUGACGACCCAGAACUUGUCGUGUAAUGCGGAUGCAACUGUGCUAGCUUCAUCACCCAACAACGUAUCUACUGUUGAUGAUGCGGGCACAAAUCAUAUGAAAGAAGCAGAUCCGCAAGCACCUUCAAAGCUGAAGCUGCAGUUAUUUCCAAUAAAUGAAGCCACACGGAAGGCAUUGGAGAAGGAUGAUCAUAAUCCACAUCUGGAGCUCACAUUAAGUUCCAAGAAAAAAAUGUCUUCUGUUUUAGAACAUCUGAAUCGCAAGUGGGGCAACUCAAACAUUGCAUGUGGAGAGCUUGUGCUUUUCCCAUAUUGUGCUCAUCAAGAGGAUUUAGCUACCUAUCAGAGGUGGACAACACAAGAUACUGUUGCAGUGGCUGAUGUCUUUUUUUCUGUGAAUAGCCCCUCUAUUUUCCGAUUAAGGUAUGGCUGGUUCUCCCUUGCUGAGCUUGAGGCAGGACUAAGUGAAAUAUCGUUGACCCGCUUUGAGAAUUGCAUGAUACCAGAAGACAUUCAGGUCAAAUCUUCCUCAGAGGCCUGUGUGCAAAAGGAUGGCACUUUACCCAGUGACUUCACUUCUGAGCAAUCAUCUAAUAACUCAAAAGAUCAGUCGGCAUUAUUGCUUGGUACACCAUCUAGUACAGGCAAGAAUGCUGCGGAAGAGCCUUCCAUUAAUACCUUUCCCUCUCAGUCUGGCGAUCACAAUCAAGAACAAGUUCCUGCAAACCAAGCUUUUGAGGUUGAUCCUCAGAUGGAUUGUCUUGCAAUAUCGGAAGUAGAUUGGGCAGAUACCCUUACUGAUAUCAGUGUUGGAUACUUGCUGACAGAAGCAUCCAAGGCUGCUAAUUUGGAUUGUGAAGUGACCUCUAUUGCCAAAAAUCCUCUUUUCGAUGAGAAUCCGUGCAGCUAUGACUCGUUUGAUGCUGCUGUUGCCCUACAUGCUUCUCGUUAUCAAGCGGCAGAGCAGCCAGCUCAAACAUCCCAUUCCACCAUGUGGGGUGCAGAAGAAACAUGUGAUGAGUUCAGUUUUAUGUUGGCCACAGCUAGGAAGCAACAAGGUUUAAACACUUCAGCUAGCAGCCCUCCUGAUAGCGACAAUGAAGUUCACUCUUCAAAUUCAGAAGGGUUUCAAGGUUUUCUUCAGGACUUGGCUGGAGGAGAUACUCCUGGUAAUCCUUGUGCUGAUGAUGUCAAGGCAAUGGAAGAACUUUGUGCCAGAUCACCACCUCAAAGUGACAAUGAUUUUGGAUUGAAAGAUCAGCCUCUAGAUGACGCAUUCUGGCCCGAAUCACUUGGACCACUGGACUUGGAUAUACCGCCAAUAAGAUCCCUAGCUGACGAGUUCAUCUUAGGAGACAGUCAAAAUAGUUGGAGUCGGAUGAUGGAAAAUAGCAUGGAUGCAUUUCGAAACAUGUCGUUCUUCGUGUCCGAUAACAAUGACUCAGUUCUUCCACCCAUCAUGUAG
Molecule: ribosomal RNA, 2178 nt
Filed under: Triticum aestivum (bread wheat)
Lineage: Eukaryota; Viridiplantae; Streptophyta; Magnoliopsida; Poales; Poaceae
Description: partial small subunit ribosomal RNA
Source: RNAcentral